Molecule: ribosomal RNA, 367 nt
Filed under: Gobiesox nigripinnis
Lineage: Eukaryota; Metazoa; Chordata; Actinopteri; Blenniiformes; Gobiesocidae
Description: partial 12S ribosomal RNA
Rfam family: Bacterial small subunit ribosomal RNA
Source: RNAcentral
UGUCCGCCCGGGAAUUACGAGCCUAGCUUAAAACCCAAAGGACUUGGCGGUGCUUAAGAUCCACCUAGAGGAGCCUGUUCUAUAACCGAUAACCCCCGUUCAACCUCACCCCUUCUUGCUCAUACCGUCUAUAUACCGCCGUCGUCAGCCUACCCUGUGAAGGUCUAAUAGUAAGCGCAAUUGGCACAGCCCAAAACGCCAGGUCGAGGUGUAGCAUAUGAAGGGGGAAGAAAUGGGCUACAUUCUCUAUUUAAGAGUAAACGAACAAAGAGUUGAAAGACUCUUUAGAAGGAGGAUUUAGUAGUAAGAAGUGAACAGAGCGCACUCCUGAAAUCGGCCCUAAAGCGCGUACACACCGCCCGUCACC